GGUCCGGUCGCGUGGUCGGCCGAAAGGUCAGCACUGCAACGGCCGGAUCUUUCCUUCUGGAGAGCGAGCAUGCCAUUUAUUUGGUGUGCUCGGGAUCCAGGACUUUUACUUUGAAAAAAUUAGAGUGUUCAAAGCAGGCAUUUGCUCGAAUACAUUAGCAUGGAAUAAUAGAAUAGGACC
This 180-nucleotide ribosomal RNA is filed under the name uncultured Glomeromycotina. Its description in RNAcentral is "partial small subunit ribosomal RNA". The stretch from base 48 to 180 matches the Rfam family "Eukaryotic small subunit ribosomal RNA", at positions 694 to 829 of the family's 1831-position model. Lineage: Eukaryota; Fungi; Glomeromycota. The record is from RNAcentral.